RNAcentral lists this ribosomal RNA (460 nucleotides) under uncultured bacterium. RNAcentral's name for it is "partial 16S ribosomal RNA". It matches the Rfam family "Bacterial small subunit ribosomal RNA", at positions 338 to 795 of the family's 1533-position model. The record is from RNAcentral.
CCUACGGGUGGCAGCAGUGAGGAAUAUUGGUCAAUGGACGAGAGCCUGAACCAGCCAAGUCGCGUGAAGGAUGAAGGAUCUAUGGUUUGUAAACUUCUUUUAUAUGGGAAUAAAGUGAGGAACGUGUUCCUUUUUGUAUGUACCAUAUGAAUAAGCAUCGGCUAACUCCGUGCCAGCAGCCGCGGUAAUACGGAGGAUGCGAGCGUUAUCCGGAUUUAUUGGGUUUAAAGGGUGCGUAGGUGGUUUAUUAAGUCAGCUGUGAAAGUUUGUGGCUCAACCAUAAAAUUGCCGUUGAAACUGGUAGACUUGAGUAUAUUUGAGGUAGGCGGAAGGCGUGGUGUAGCGGUGAAAUGCAUAGAUAUCACGCAGAACUCCGAUUGCGAAGGCAGCUUACUAAACUAUAACUGACACUGAAGCACGAAAGCGUGGGUAUCAAACAGGAUUAGAUACCCGUGUAGUC